GGGGAUUUAGCUUAGUGGCAUAAGCACCUGCCUUGCAAGCAGGCAGUCCUGAGUUCGAUCCCCAGAACCG
Molecule: transfer RNA, 70 nt
Filed under: Cavia porcellus (domestic guinea pig)
Lineage: Eukaryota; Metazoa; Chordata; Mammalia; Rodentia; Caviidae
Rfam family: tRNA
About the family: Transfer RNA (tRNA) molecules are approximately 80 nucleotides in length. Their secondary structure includes four short double-helical elements and three loops (D, anti-codon, and T loops).
Source: Rfam by way of RNAcentral